RNAcentral lists this ribosomal RNA (253 nucleotides) under uncultured bacterium. Its description in RNAcentral is "partial 16S ribosomal RNA". It matches the Rfam family "Bacterial small subunit ribosomal RNA", at positions 524 to 776 of the family's 1533-position model. The record is from RNAcentral.
UACGUAGGGUGCGAGCGUUAAUCGGAAUUACUGGGCGUAAAGCGUGAGCAGGCGGCUUUGCAAGACAGAUGUGAAAUCCCCGGGCUCAACCUGGGAACUGCAUUUGUGACUGCAAGGCUAGAGUACGGCAGAGGGGGAUGGAAUUCCGCGUGUAGCAGUGAAAUGCGUAGAUAUGCGGAGGAACACCAAUGGCGAAGGCAAUCCCCUGGGCCUGUACUGACGCUCAUGCACGAAAGCGUGGGGAGCAGACAGG